UACGGAGGGUGCAAGCGUUAUCCGGAUUCACUGGGUUUAAAGGGUGCGUAGGUGGGUUGGUAAGUCAGUGGUGAAAUCUCCGUGCUUAACAUGGAAACUGCCAUUGAUACUACUGGUCUUGAAUUUUCCGGAGGUUAAGCGGAAUAUGUCAUGUAGCGGUGAAAAUGCUUAGAUAUGACACAGAACACCGAUUGCGAAGGCAGCUCACUAAACUGUAACUGACGCUGAGGCACGAAAGCGUGGGGAGCAAACAGG
Molecule: ribosomal RNA, 255 nt
Filed under: uncultured bacterium
Lineage: Bacteria
Description: partial 16S ribosomal RNA
Rfam family: Bacterial small subunit ribosomal RNA
Source: RNAcentral